GGAUCGAGAAACCAAAGAGACAGAUUAGUUGGGCGAGUGGCAGGUUAGAUGAACUCUUUCGAUGGCAUCUUUGUGGGAAACAAUAUGAAAUGAUUUAUAUAUAUGUAGAAAGCUCAUAAGAAUGUUUGCAAUGAUGACCCAUUUUGCCCCUUAAUGAUCUACUCCCACUACCAGAAACAGGAGAUACGCCGAGUGCUAGGGGGUUUGCCGAGUGCAUUCCUUC
RNAcentral lists this long non-coding RNA (223 nucleotides) under Setaria viridis. RNAcentral describes it as "long non-coding RNA (SVIR_LNC005177)". Lineage: Eukaryota; Viridiplantae; Streptophyta; Magnoliopsida; Poales; Poaceae. The record is from RNAcentral.